CCCAUUAAACCACCGCCACCGCCACCAAGCCACGCAGCACUACACACCACAGCAAACAACAGUGAAGGCGAUGGUUACUGCUGUCAAUCUUGGCAAUCAAUGUGAGCGGCCAUGUCUGAACACCCGCCGUGAGGAACCCUAUACACGUCCCGAGAAAAAAGAAAACGCUUUCACUUGGAGUGUUACCCCACGUGUAGAAACCGCGUUUGGAAUUGCUGCCCUUGCUUUGGCUGCAGGAAGGCUAAAGGCAGGCAGAUGUUGAGGAGGGAUGCUGACCUGCUGGGGCUCCCUGCACAGGGAAGAGACCGCAGGCGCUCACAUCACGUCAGGGCACUUACCUGUGCACAGCUGUCACGGCUUUUUGCGCCGUGUGUCUCACUAAAUGCGUUAAAGUAAAGCAGUAUUCAACAAGCGAGGCAACCUGUAUGUGUGCUAAGUCGUAGGUACCGCAUCUUUAACCUGAGCAGUAAACCUGCAACUCCUGGAGAGUUGGCGAAACAGUCCCAGAAGUUUUGGAUUCAAAGGGCAAGAAAUUUCACUUUAAAAGCCAUUCACCCACUUCUAAGCUGCCUUCUCACCCCAGUUAAUGCCGAACACUUAAGAGGCAUGUUUAUAAAUUCCCUGUGCGGACACUGUCCGACAAUGAAGGCUUGUUAUAGAUGUUCAGAGAAACUUUUGCGAAAUAAUCAACAACAUCUGAGAGAAAGCUAAAGGAAAAUAAGUUAAAGCCUGAUAAUCCGAUUGGGGAAAAGUUUUGUUAAGACUAGAUAGAAGCAAAUUGCUGUACGUUUCUUCAAAAGCAAACCCAUCAGCUGAUACGAGUUCUCCUAGAACAAGAACCUCUGGCGAAUUUCUCCAAAAUUAGGCGACGUUUGAAUUUUAUAACACUCAGAGCUAAAGAUCCGCCUGAAAACAAAAACUCUGAAUUCCUUACAGCGUCAUCUGCCAACAAAAUGUAUUGUCUUGGCAGAAAGAGGA
Molecule: long non-coding RNA, 978 nt
Organism: Hirundo rustica (Barn swallow)
Lineage: Eukaryota; Metazoa; Chordata; Aves; Passeriformes; Hirundinidae
Exons: 3
Source: RefSeq, a predicted model, not a curated record